Molecule: long non-coding RNA, 6735 nt
Organism: Symphalangus syndactylus (siamang)
Lineage: Eukaryota; Metazoa; Chordata; Mammalia; Primates; Hylobatidae
Source: RefSeq, a predicted model, not a curated record
ACACCUCCUUAAAACCGUUAUUGAAAAUCUGACUUGAGAAGAUUAAUACACAUCUUAAAAUUAUUGUUAACGCCAUUUUUAGGCAUCUGUAGGCUGAGCUGGCACAAGCAUUUCCCAGCUUGCACUUCUUCUAUGCCUUUCCAGUCACCUGCACCAUAUUCCACAUGAAAUACCUGGAGAUGUUAUACAGCAUGAUCAUAUCUCUUAUUUCCUGUAAUCAUUGAAAAACACCAGCAACAGACAUUUUUCUCCUUGUACAGAGUAGGAAACAAGUUCAGAGAGCUGAGGUGACUUGCUUGACAUCUGACAGCAACUAGAAAUCUGAGCUCUCUGGACCAUGUUCAUGCUGGAAGGCUUUCAGGGAAAGCCUGUGCCAGGCAUUUUCAUGGACCGACCUAAACUGUGAGAAAGUACCUUGAAGAUGAUUGGUUGGCUUUGUUAUUUAUUCAUGUUUUUAUGUAUUUCUAAAACAUGUAAUGAUAAUCUGGCUGCUUCACACCAGAGAGUUUUUUUCUUUUUCUUUUGAGAUGGAGUCUCGCUCUGUCACCCAGGCAGAAGUGCAGCGGCAUGAUCUCGACUCACUGUAACCUCCGCCUCCCGGGUUCAAGCAAUUCUCCUGCCUCAGCCUCUGGAGUGGCUGGGACUACAGGCGCACGCUGCCACACCGGGCUAAUUUUUUGUAUUUUAGUACAGGUGGGGUUUCGUCGUGUUGCCCAGGCUGGUCAUGAACUCCUGAGCUCAGGCAAUCCGCCCACCUCGGCCUCCCAAAGUGCUGGGAUCACAGGCAUAAGCCACCGUGCCUGGCCACCAGAGAGUUUUUCAGAGCAGUCUGUUUUGCCUUCUCAAGCAAGUCAGGGAAAGGAGAGAAAGAGAUGGGCAGCAGUGUGCAAUUUGCACAUGAGCCUAUUAUGUCUGCUGUGUCUAUGCAUUUCACUGUCUACUUUUGUCAUCUUCCUCUUUUUCUUAUGGAUUUGUAAUUUCCUACUGAUAUAAGAACAAGUGACAUCAACCUCUUUCUGACCUAUAAAUUGCAAAUUUCCUUUUCUCAGUUUCAUUUGCAAUCCUAAUUUGUGUGUGUGUGUGUUUUAUAAAGAAAUUUGCAAAGUUUUAUGUUGUCUAAGUCAUCAGCCUUUUGUGGAUAUUUGACAUUCUUAUCUGCCCUAUAUCAAGAUUAUGAAGAUAUUUUAAUUGACAAGUUAUUUUUACAUUUAAACUUGUGCUAUUAUUAGUGUCUUUUGAUGUAAGGAGUAAGUUAGGAAUCAAGUUUCGUUUUUGUCUGCCAAAUGCUUGGUUUUGUUAUACUACUGAUUAAAAUAUCCAAAAUUUCUCCAUUGUUUAAAAUGCUAAAUUCUCACAUACAUAUAUUUCUUUUUUCUCAUUGUAAAUAAUAUGUCUAUUUAUUCUGCUUAUUCCUCACUAUUUAACUUUUGUACUACAGCUACCAUUUUAAAACACAUUAAGGAAAAUCUCACUACCCUUCUUUUAAGUUAUUUUCCUGGUCAGGAUGUUAGAUUGGUGUCCACCCCAACUUAAGGCAGAUAAUUUUACAUUUUGAAUAGUUUACUUCCUGUUAUUAGCAGGAGGGAUAAAAAAGAAAAUUGCUUUAGGAAGUAGAUAAUUUGGCUUUUAUUUACUAUGGAAGGUAGCUUUCUGCUGAGAACUCAUUCAUCGGUGCUUAGUGUCCCCAGGAGUAAGUACUGGGCUUAAAUGCUUAGCAUCUCAGAGUUGGAAGGAUCUUAGAGAUCAUGUAAUUCAGGGUUGUUAUUUUCCAGAUGAGGAAGUUAAGCUCCAGGAAUAAGAAGGAACUUGCCCCAAAAUUCAUAGGCAAGUAUUCUCACUAGAGCCACACUAAAAGAAAAUAAAAAUGUGACAAAAGAAAAUAUUGGGGUAUUUUUUAAAAUGAACAUUUCAAUAUAAGAUUCUCAAUGAUUUUUGUGGUUUCCAAACAAAAACUUUUUUAUCCAUCUAUUCCAAAUGCAUUUUUAUAAAGUACUCUCUAGGCACUCUCCUAAGCACUGAAGGUACCAAAACUCCUCGCCUCUUCUCAGAAGAAUUAAUUACAUUGCUCUGCAAUGCUCUUUUACUCCACUGCCCAUUCAGUGGUUAAAACCUGGGUCCGGUUAUAUUUAAACACUUUGUUUCAAGGUGUGUCUCCCCCAGACAUAUUUUAAGCAUGAGUUGUUCCUUAUUAUUAUAUUUUUUUCUAUAAUUUUAUACUUUCCUUUUCACUUACUUCUCCACUCAGAGAUCUUGCAUUCUCCAUUUAUUUACCAUCUUAACCCUAAUGAAGUUCCACAAUUUUGUGGAAAGUUCCUUUCCCAUUCUUCUCAUCUUUUCCAUGUCCUCUAGCUCUCAGUCUGAGCCUUCCCACUUGCAGUGUGAAGAGCUGGCCCAGCCAUUGUCUAAAGUUUCACAAAGAGGUAGUGCUUUGGUUGUUUGACGCCUCCCCAUCGCUUGUGUAACCUCUUGUCCAGAGACAGAGCUAUGGUUGUUUGACACCCUUCACAUUGCUGGUACAUCUGAGUGCCCGCUUAGCACUUGGUGGUAAAGUAGCUUCCUCAUGACCUUCCUGGGAAGCAGUGACUCUACUAAGCACUCCAGCAUGUUAGUAGGCUCCGUUUCCUAAAACUUUUGCUUAAUAGCCAAGUCCACUGCAGAAAAAAAACACAUUUACAAAUGCUAAUGGGGUACCUAAUGCUUGUGCUUGGGCCACUGCCAGGCACAUGAGGCUAGUCUGGAGGUUGCUGACUCAAUGGUGUUUCUGGUUCACUAGCACCAGUGUGGUCAGAACAUGGUCAGGCUAUCAGCGGCACAUUCAGAAACAAUCAUUUAAGAAUGAGGAAGAGGUUGAGCAAGCCCCGCUGCUGUCCACAGGUGGGAAAGGAGGUAACUGAGUGCUUGACACUUUGCAGAUUAGGGAGGAUUUUGUACUGGGCUGUAUGUUCCAGACCACCUAUUUUUAAUUCUUCAUUCUUAGGCAGGAAUGUAGUUGAACCAAGUAGAACAUUUUAUUCUCACGCACAUCUCACUGCCUCUUCCCUGUGGCAUGUGCACAACUCUUAGAAGCUUGUAGGUCCACAGAUUCCAGAUCUGAGAAGUGACUUUGGGAGAUCAUCUAACCCCAUCACAGAGGAGGUUAUAUUCCUAGAUCCAAAGUACAUUUUCUCUGGCUCUAACUUGUUAAGUGGAAACCAUGACUUGAACUAAAUCACCCCAAUUUUGACCCCUACAUGGGGUAGGCUCAGUGCAAGGGCCACAGAGGCACUGUUUUUUCUUGUGUGUGUGCUGUCAUUAAAAUUCUCCCAAUUCCUUCAUCAGAGACAGAUUUGUUUCUGAUCCCCAAGGACAUGUGGGCUGUAACUACAACUUGUGCUUAAUGCAUGAGUUGAAACUCUCAAUCAAGUUCGGGAAGAAAAAUCAAAGGCUUUUACAGAAGAAAUCACAUGUAUUGAAAAACAACUGAAACAUCUGUUUUUUAAAAAAAACUAGAUAUCUUGUUUGGUUUUUGAAUAUUAAGGAAGUUGGUCUUUGACAUGAGAAGGGAAGAAUUAGGGAGACAAGAAAGAAAAGGUGGAAUAAAUUGAAGAGAAGGAGGCAAUUUUUGCAUUGUAGUAACUGACAGAGAGUUCUGCAAACGUAAGGGACAUCUACCAGCCUUACUGGGUAAUGCUAUUUUGACAUUUCUCAUGUGCCCAUGGUUUCUUCAUUUGUAAAGUGAGUAGUUUGUGUUAAAUGAACCCUGAAGGCUUUAGUAAUUGUUAAUCAAGGCACUUAGAUGAGGAGUCAAAAUGCUAAUUAUUUACAAAUACACGAUUUUGUGAUUGAAAAACUGUUGAGAAGUAAUCACAAAAAAAUCAAAACCAGUAAGAGUUCAACCUGUAGGCUAGUGAUAAAUUCAAUAUACAAAAUCGAUAGCUUUUUCUAGCAAACAGUAGCCAAUUAUAAAAUACAAUGAAAGAAGAAUGUGACUCAAAUAAAAAUAAUUAUUUGUUAGUUAUUUUUAUAAUUAAGUUACAAAAUGUUUUAGAUCUAUAUGAAGAAACGUCUUGAAGAGUACCAAAAAGAUAUAUUAAAAUGAGACAAAAAUAUUUGAAGUAAAAUCCUAUUCUUAGAACGCUCAAUAGUCCACAUAACAGUUUUUUCUUAAACAAAACCUAUAGUUUCAGUUUCAUGUCAGUUAAAAAAGCAAUGAAAUUAUUUUAACUUGAUAAAGUAAUUUAAAAGUUAUUUUGCAAGAGUGAAUCGUAGAGGGUAGCCAUGAAUUCUGAUGAAGACUGGUAGAAGCUACAUUCAUUAAAAUUGCAUGGUACUGGCACAGGGAGAGACAGGAGAGUAGAGGAGAAUGGAAUCCACUGGAUGAGCUAGGAAUGCCUGGGAAUUUGAUACGCGGCAAGGUUGGUGUUUGCCCUGCAGUGAGUGUGCAAAAUGUGCUGUGUGUUCUCUGUAGGAUGUUUGGCUGUCCUCCAGCAUCAAGAUGGGCCUAGCAUUUUGAAUUCCUUUGAAUCCUGCAUAAUUUUGUUUCUUUACUGUACAGACUCAGAUUUCUAAGACAAUGUGACAUGAACCCAGACAUGGGCCUUUUGUAUGAGAUAGCAUAUGGCGAGCGAUGACAUUUCUGCAGGCUCAGGAAAUUUAUACUUCUGGAUGCAGCAAGAAGCAGUUUCUAUGUCAUUGCUGGGAAGACAAGCCUGCCAUGACUUUUCAGAACAGCCUUUAUCUCAAGGCUGAAAAACUAACAGGAACACAGAAAUAAUUAGGUAAACACACAAAACAAAUGUCUUUUAGGGAAAUCAAACAUGAACUACAUAAAAAGUGAUCACUGUUCAUAUUUUGGCUACUAGAUGAGCAAACACAAAAUAAAAAGCAAGCCAGAAACAAUUCUUGCAAUACCUAUGAUAAAGGAUGUUAAAUAUGCAGAAUUUUAGAAAUCAGUAAGUACAGAUGAGUGACCCAGCAGAAAAAUAGGUAAUAAGAAAGAAAAAUAACCAAUGAACAUUCGAAAAGAGCUUAUUCUCAGAAACAAUUUUUACAAGGUACGGUGAGACAAACAGGAAUAUUAUAUUCACUCAUAUGAUUGACAAAGAUUAAAACAAUUGAUAAUAAUUAGUAUUGGUAAGAAUAUUCAGUUAAAAGAUACUUCCAUAUAUUGCAGUAAGAGGGAAAAAGUGGGUGAACAGUUUCUAAAGUGGGCAAUUGGCCAGGUGAGGAGGCUCACACCUUUAAUCCCAGCAUUCUGGGAGGCUGAGGUGGGUGGAUCACGAAGUCAGGAGUUCGAGAUAAGCCUGGCCAACAUAGUGAAACCCCAUCUCUACUAAAAAUACAAAAAUUAGCUGAGUGUGGUGGCAUGUGCCUGUAGUCCCAGCUACCCGGAGGCUGAGGCAGGAGAACUGCUUGAACCUGGGAGGCAGAGCUUGCAGUGAGCUGAGAUCACACCACUGUUCUCCAGCCUUGGGCGACAGAGUGAGACUCCGUCUCAAAAACAAAUAAAUAAAGGAAUAAAAAUAAAACUUGAAAUAUGCAUAGCUGUUGACAUUCCAUUUCUAGGAAUUUUUACAAAGUAGUAGGCAGAUACAUUUUUAAAGAUAUAUGCACAGCCAUAUAAAUAUGAGGCAAAUACAUAUGAACAAAUAUUAACCUCUGAGAUAAUAUUUAAAUAUGAGAAACAUGCAAUGGGGCUGGCUGUGGAGUAUGACCCUGUAUUUGCAAUUUAAGACAGAUAUUUACACGAUUUAUUUGCAAGGGGAAUGAAUUAAAGUGCUUUGAAUGGUAAAUGGUGGUUAUAGUUGAAGGGAGAAGGUAUGGGGGUUUCUACCUUCAUUUUUUUUUUUUUUUUUUACAUUUCUCUAUUAUUUGGAAUUUUGUAAUAUGUGUUAUUUUUUAAAAUUAGAACAAUAAUAGAUUUAAGCGCAAGCGAAUUACAACAUUCAAAUUCUAGGACUGACCUGGGUUUAUCUUUCUACUAACUUUUAAUCAGUUCUUUCUUCCUUUAAUGAAGAUUCUCCAGGGAGGUUGUAACUAACCAACUGCCAUACUGAAUCAUCCUUUUAAGAAGUCUGAAACAUCGAGCCAACUUGCCUCAAAAUCUUUUCCAAUUACUUUCCUCACCUCUGAAGGACCCUCCUUAUUCUACUUUUAUGACAGCUUGACUCUUGACCCACUACUUGCCUACAGACCUCUACAUCACCUUUGCACCAUUCUCCUACAAGAUGGUCAGAGGAGAGCGUCAUACCCACGUGUUGAGGAAAACCAGGGAAAGUGUCAGCUGGGAAUUAGGGAGCAGGAGAGGUGGACACUGCUGUCACGGAGGAGCAGGAUAUUGGAGAAGUCUUCAAUAACCUCAGCUCUUUAACAAUGAGACUCCACGUUUUCCUCACUGCUCUUUUUGCCAUCUUCCAGGUACUACCCGGCAUCACUAGGGCACUCCAUUUUGAAAGACCCUGCUACCUUAGAGGCGGGAUCUGUCUGAAGCGCGGAACACCGAACUGUGAGCCUUUCAGAGGACCCUGCAGAGCUUUCACUGUUUGCUGUAAAAUACGGAGAAGCUGAUGGAGGAACCCGGCAAGGAACACAGGCGCGGGAUCUGAAGCAUGGCUCCUUUAGUCCAAAUGAGAGCAAACAUUACUCAAGUCCACAUAAUUCAUUAUCAUUAGGACUGAUUAAAGAAAGAUAUGUUUCCCAUGAAGGGGAAGGCACUGGGUAGGAGAAAAUUAUAAUUAAACUUAUAUUAUGUUUAAA